This 809-nucleotide ribosomal RNA is filed under the name Brachionus quadridentatus brevispinus. Its description in RNAcentral is "SSU rRNA". It matches the Rfam family "Eukaryotic small subunit ribosomal RNA", at positions 104 to 910 of the family's 1831-position model. The record is from RNAcentral. Lineage: Eukaryota; Metazoa; Rotifera; Eurotatoria; Ploima; Brachionidae.
AAUCAGUUAUGGUUCCUUAGAUCGUUCAUACUACAUGGAUAACUGUGGUAAUUCUAGAGCUAAUACAUGCAAAAAGCUCCGACCGUAUGGGAAGAGCGCUUUUAUUAGACCAAAACCAAUGGGGUCGCAAGACUCCUUUGUAUGGUGACUCUGGAUAACUUUGUGCUGAUCGCAUGGCCUAGAGCCGGCGACGUAUCUUUCAAGUGUCUGCCCUAUCAACUUUCGAUGGUAAGCGAUUUGCCUACCAUGGUUGUAACGGGUAACGGGGAAUCAGGGUUCGAUUCCGGAGAGGGAGCAUGAGAAAUGGCUACCACAUCUACGGAAGGCAGCAGGCGCGCAAAUUACCCACUCCUAGAACGGGGAGGUAGUGACGAAAAAUAACAAUACCGGACUCAAUGAGGCUCGGUAAUUGAAAUGAGUACAGUUUAAAACCCUUAACGAGGAUCUAUUGGAGGGCAAGUCUGGUGCCAGCAGCCGCGGUAAUUCCAGCUCCAAUAGCGUAUAUUAAAGUUGUUGCAGUUAAAAAGCUCGUAGUUGGAUCUCGGGUACUAGCAUGUGGUACGCUUAAUUGCUGUUACUACAUGUCUGGUCCUAAUCAACCGGUUGGCCGUUGAUGUCCUUUAUUGGGUGUUUUCGGUAGCCGGUACGUUUACUUUGAGAAAAUUAGAGUGCUUAAAGCAGGCCUUACGCCUGAAUAAUGUUGCAUGGAAUAAUAGAAUAGGACCUCGGUUCUAUUUUGUUGGUUUUGUAGAGCAUUGAGGUAAUGAUUAAUAGGGACAGACGGGGGCAUUCGUAUUGCGGUGUUAGAG